ACAACUGCUCUCACAAAAAAAAGCUUACAGGAUUUUAUUUCAAUAAAGUUAAGUAAACUACGAGCAUUCGUAUCAACUUUAAAAUCAAUAAUUAUGGCAGCUUGCAGUGUUUUAGUUCAAAAUCUAAUAAGCUAUUAUGGAAAAUAAAACUGAUAUCUGUUGAUUACACUAAUUUUAAAUGUAACUUACUAGCACAUCAAAUAGGACUUUCUGGAAACUUCCUAUAUUUUACUAUUAUAUCAAUGUUAAUAGGGGAAAGGCCUGGUCAGAGAAACAGGGAAGAGUGUCUACACUUCACACCAGCUUCUAAAUUUGAACUAACUGCAAAACAAAUGUUACUGUAGCCAAGAGGGGGUUUGGGGCGAGGGUUGGUACUCUAUUUUCAAUACAUUUCAGGCAGGUGGCAAUACAGAGCACCAGCUCACCCGGGGAAGCAUCGCAGGAAGUCACAGGACUCUGAAGUUAGUUUAUAUGGCAACCACAAUUUAAACGCGGCUGCCUGACAAAGAAAUAGUGCCUUUCUGAACUUAAUUUUCAUGUGUACGUUCGGUUUUCAUAGAAAUAAAAGAUAUUAAAAAAAUUUAGUCUGACAAUUUUUUAAACUGCCUUAAGGCCACUACUUAAUAUUUCUAGGCAAAAAUUUUUACGUUGCUAUAUUGUACUUAAACUUUUGCAAUAAUCCACAAUAAUACAACACAAUUUGACAAUCUGCAAUCAGAAAUCUUGCAACAAACCAUACAACACUGAGAAAUACACCACAUUCUGCUAAGUCUGACAACCUUAACAGCGGCUUAAAAGGAACCAACUUUGAUUGAACAUUUCAUUGGGUAUUACGUAAAUGUUAGGACUGUUUCUAUAGUAACGAAGCCCGUUUAUCGAAACUGGCCGAUACUUCAGCUCCCUGUUGCUUUGGGAGUGCGCCUCGGGUUUCCGUUUCUAUUUCUCUCCGUGAUAGGAAGCGCCGACCGGAGCGUGAAAGAUUUCAUAAUUUUCCAAUGGGCAAAUACCAGCAGAGUGAAUGACCUCCCAUUCAUCAUCAAAGUCCUCAGAUUGACCCAAAAGAGCAAUACGGUUAGGAUUAAUUAGUGCAUCAGUGUGAUUAAAAUUCUUGGAACAACAAUGAGCUGUUGGUUGAAUUCUUCCAUGUUCAUUGCUCUGAAUCUUUCUGCAGAAUCUGAAAUCUUUGUUAAUCCCACAGGCAAUGGGGAAACGAGCUGGAAAAGUACUACCCUUCCUGAAGAUGUUCCAACAGCAACAAGGUCAUCAAAACAAGCCAACAAUUUCACUACUCUAAUAGUAUCAGUUUUACCCUUAAUGAGAAAGAAAACUCUUUUAGUAAACAACUAUAUCACAAGUUUAACAAAACAUACACAAGGCUAUUCGAUUUAAUUUAUUUCGAAAAUACACGAGUACAUUCUAGUACUUUCUUAAAACCUGUCAGCAUCUCAGAAGGAUGAAUCUAACUUAUCACUGAUAUUAUUCUCAAUGCUUUGCACUAAUGGUAAAAUAGAAAGAUAAAAAUGUUUAUCCUACUUCUCUCCUGGUCCUAAGCAAAUUUUGUUCACAUAACUACAGCAACAGACUAACGUUCAAACGUACCUCUAGAUUAUAUUUUGUCAUCUUGUUCAGCCGUCUGCAGUAGAGAUAAAGCAUACCGAUA
Molecule: long non-coding RNA, 1660 nt
Organism: Rhincodon typus (whale shark)
Lineage: Eukaryota; Metazoa; Chordata; Chondrichthyes; Orectolobiformes; Rhincodontidae
Exons: 4
Source: RefSeq, a predicted model, not a curated record